Molecule: ribosomal RNA, 872 nt
Filed under: uncultured bacterium
Lineage: Bacteria
Description: bacterial SSU rRNA
Rfam family: Bacterial small subunit ribosomal RNA
Source: RNAcentral
UGAACGCUGGCGGAAUGCUUUACACAUGCAAGUCGAACGGCAGCACGGACUUCGGUCUGGUGGCGAGUGGCGAACGGGUGAGUAACAUAUCGGAACGUAUCCAAUAAUGGGGGAUAACUAAUCGAAAGGUUGGCUAAUACCGCAUACGCCCUACGGGGGAAAGCAGGGGAUCUUCGGACCUUGCGUUAAUGGAGCGGCUGAUAUCUGAUUAGCUAGUUGGUGAGGUAAAGGCUCACCAAGGCGACGAUCAGUAGCUGGUCUGAGAGGACGACCAGCCACACUGGAACUGAGACACGGUCCAGACUCCUACGGGAGGCAGCAGUGGGGAAUUUUGGACAAUGGGCGCAAGCCUGAUCCAGCCAUUCCGCGUGAGUGAAGAAGGCCUUCGGGUUGUGAAGCUCUUUCGCAAGGGAAGAAAACUUACUUUCUAAUAAAGAGUGAGGUUGACGGUACCUUGAUAAGAAGCACCGGCUAACUACGUGCCAGCAGCCGCGGUAAUACGUAGGGUGCGAGCGUUAAUCGGAAUUACUGGGCGUAAAGCGUGCGCAGGCGGUUUUGUAAGUCAGAUGUGAAAUCCCCGAGCUCAACUUGGGAACUGCGUUUGAAACUACAAGACUAGAAUAUGUCAGAGGGGGGUAGAAUUCCACGUGUAGCAGUGAAAUGCGUAGAGAUGUGGAGGAAUACCAAUGGCGAAGGCAGCCCCCUGGGAUAAUAUUGACGCUCAUGCACGAAAGCGUGGGGAGCAAACAGGAUUAGAUACCCUGGUAGUCCACGCCCUAAACGAUGUCUACUAGUUGUUGGUGGAGUAAAAUCCAUGAGUAACGCAGCUAACGCGUGAAGUAGACCGCCUGGGGAGUACGGUCGCAAGAUUA